RNAcentral lists this long non-coding RNA (1214 nucleotides) under Oryctolagus cuniculus (rabbit). RNAcentral describes it as "lncRNA (ENSOCUG00000031996.1)". The record is from RNAcentral. Lineage: Eukaryota; Metazoa; Chordata; Mammalia; Lagomorpha; Leporidae.
UUUGAUCAUUUUCUACUCCAUGAGAAUGCAUGCUUUGUAAAGCUGGGGGCUUGGUUCACUGGUUCCUUGCUGUUGCUCCAGAGCCUAGAACAGGGUCUAGCUUAUAGUAGACUUUCAUUAAAUAUUAAGCAAAUUGAGUGUUGAAUGAGGAAAGAAAGAGGUAAACAGAGAAGAGUAGGGGGCACCAGGCUAAGCCUUUGUAAUCCCACAUUUAGAAAUUCGGUAGAGAAGGAGAGGUCUGUGUGUCGGAGGAAAGCAGCAGCAGCCAGUGAGGUAGGGGAAAGAGCAGGUGUGUGUGUGUGUGUAGUCAUGGACGCCAAGACAGGAAGUUGUUCUCAGUAGAAGGAGGUGUCCAAGCAACGUAAGUCCUGCCGGGAGGUCAAGAGACACGAGAACAGAGACACAUACGCAUCUAUUGGCAUUGGCAAGAUGAAGAGCGGUGGUAACCUUGACAAGAGCAGUUCAAGGACAGUAACGAUGACAGGAGGAGAAUGCAUUGACGUGGAUGGAAGCCCGUGGGGUGACAGUAACUCAAAAACGUUUCACACCAGGAUGCAGCGCUGCAGGUGGGGAGCCGAUAGACUCCAAAGGCAAGGAAACCACGAGGGGAGGGGAAGUCUGGGUGCCUGGCUAGAUUGCUUUAUGUUCUGCACACAUGGUAAGUAUUGCACUGCACCCCCCAAAAAUGUACAAGUAUGACAGCUUCAUCAAAAAUUUUAAAUAAUGAAACAAUUUGUAAAAAACAAAAAGAAUCCUUAGCAUCUAAGAUUGAUUGUAGUCUCUCCCCUGUCCAUCUCCUCUGAUCUUUUCUUCUUUUAUCAUUUUUGUCAUUUAAAAGUGUUGAUUGACAUGCAAUACUCACACAUGGACAAAUUAUUUUUUUAAAUCAUUACUUGGGGCCAGUGCUGUGGUAUAGCAGGUAAAGCUGCUGCCAUCCCAUAUGGGUACCAGUUCAAAUCCCAACUUCUCCUCUUCCGAUCCAGCUCUCUGCUGUGGCCUGGGAAAGCAGUAGAAGAUGGCCCAAAUCUUUGAGCCCCUGCAUCCACCUGGGAUACCUAGAAGAAGCUCCUGGCUCCUGGCUUCGGAUUGGCCAGGCUCCGGCCAUUAUGGCCAUUUGGCGAGUGAACCAGUGGAUAGAAGAAUUCUCUCUCUUUCUCUCUGCCUCUGCCUCUCAAAUGAAUAAAUAAAUCUUUUUAAAAAAUUGUUACUUAUUA